RNAcentral lists this ribosomal RNA (253 nucleotides) under uncultured bacterium. RNAcentral's name for it is "partial 16S ribosomal RNA". It matches the Rfam family "Bacterial small subunit ribosomal RNA", at positions 524 to 776 of the family's 1533-position model. The record is from RNAcentral.
UACGGAGGAUCCGAGCGUUAUCCGGAUUUAUUGGGUUUAAAGGGUGCGUAGGCGGCCUGUUAAGUCAGUGGUGAAAGACGGUAGCUCAACUAUCGCAGUGCCUUUGAUACUGAUGGGCUUGAAUACACUUGAGGUAGGCGGAAUGUGGCAAGUAGCGGUGAAAUGCGUAGAUAUGUGGCAGAACACCAAUUGCGAAGGCAGCUUACUGGAGUGUGAUUGACGCUGAGGCGCGAAAGCGUGGGGAUCAAACAGG